RNAcentral lists this ribosomal RNA (945 nucleotides) under uncultured bacterium. Its description in RNAcentral is "bacterial SSU rRNA". It matches the Rfam family "Bacterial small subunit ribosomal RNA", at positions 522 to 1478 of the family's 1533-position model. The record is from RNAcentral.
AAUACGAAGGGACCUAGCGUAGUUCGGAAUUACUGGGCUUAAAGAGUUCGUAGGUGGUUGAAAAAGUUGGUGGUGAAAUCCCAGAGCUUAACUCUGGAACUGCCAUCAAAACUUUUCAGCUAGAGUAUGAUAGAGGAAAGCAGAAUUUCUAGUGUAGAGGUGAAAUUCGUAGAUAUUAGAAAGAAUACCAAUUGCGAAGGCAGCUUUCUGGAUCAUUACUGACACUGAGGAACGAAAGCAUGGGUAGCGAAGAGGAUUAGAUACCCUCGUAGUCCAUGCCGUAAACGAUGUGUGUUAGACGUUGGAAAUUUAUUUUCAGUGUCGCAGCGAAAGCGAUAAACACACCGCCUGGGGAGUACGACCGCAAGGUUAAAACUCAAAUGAAUUGACGGGGACCCGCACAAGUAGUGGAGCAUGUGGUUUAAUUCGAAGAUACGCGCAGAACCUUACCAACACUUGACAUGUUCGCCGCGACUUUAAGAGAUUAAAGUUUUCGGUUCGGCCGGACGAAACACAGGUGCUGCAUGGCUGUCGUCAGCUCGUGUCGUGAGAUGUUGGGUUAAGUCCCGCAACGAGCGCAACCCUCACUUUUAGUUGCCAUCAUUAAGUUGGGCACUCUGAAAGAACUGCCAGUGAUAAGCUGGAGGAAGGUGGGGAUGACGUCAAGUCCUCAUGGCCCUUACGUGUUGGGCUACACACGUGCUACAAUGGUAUCUACAACAGGAAGCAAGACGGCGACGUUAAGCAAAUCCUUAAAAGAUACCUCAGUUCGGAUUGCACUCUGCAACUCGAGUGCAUGAAGCUGGAAUUACUAGUAAUCGUGGAUCAGCGUGCCACGGUGAAUGCGUUCCCGGGUCUUGUACACACCGCCCGUCACACCAUGGGAGUUGGUUCUACCUUAAGGCAAGGCAUAAAACCCUUGACCACGGUAUAGUCAGCGACUGG